This 460-nucleotide ribosomal RNA is filed under the name uncultured bacterium. RNAcentral's name for it is "bacterial SSU rRNA". It matches the Rfam family "Bacterial small subunit ribosomal RNA", at positions 29 to 534 of the family's 1533-position model. The record is from RNAcentral.
AACGAACGCUGGCGGCAUGCCUAACACAUGCAAGUCGAACGAGACUUUCGGGUCUAGUGGCGCACGGGUGCGUAACGCGUGGGAACCUGCCUUUAGGUUCGGAAUAACUCAGAGAAAUUUGAGCUAAUACCGGAUAAUGUCUUCGGACCAAAGAUUUAUCGCCUUUAGAUGGGCCCGCGUUGGAUUAGCUAGUUGGUGGGGUAAAGGCCUACCAAGGCGACGAUCCAUAGCUGGUCUGAGAGGAUGAUCAGCCACACUGGGACUGAGACACGGCCCAGACUCCUACGGGAGGCAGCAGUGGGGAAUAUUGGACAAUGGGCGAAAGCCUGAUCCAGCAAUGCCGCGUGAGUGAUGAAGGCCUUAGGGUUGUAAAGCUCUUUUACUCGGGACGAUAAUGACGGUACCGAGAGAAUAAGCCCCGGCUAACUCCGUGCCAGCAGCCGCGGUAAUGUGACUACUG